CCUACGGGUGGCAGCAGUGGGGAAUAUUGGGCAAUGGGCGCAACCCUGACCCAGCAACGCCGCGUGAGGGAAGGAGUCUUUCGGGAUGUAAACUCCUAUUAAGAGGGAAGAGCAGAAGCCGGUACCUCUUGAAUAAGCUCCGGCAAAAUACGUGCCAGCAGCCGCGGUAAUACGUAGGGAGCGAGCGUUUUCCGGAUUUACUGGGUGUAAAGGGCGUGCAGCCGGGAGUACAAGUCAGAUGUGAAAUCCCGCGGCUCAACCGCGGAACUGCAUUUGAAACUGGAGUUCUUGAGUACUGGAGAGGCAGGCGGAAGUCCUAGUGUAGCGGUGAAAUGCGUAGAUAUUAGGAGGAACACCAGUGGCGAAGGCGGUCUGCUGGACAGCAACUGACGGUGAGGCGCGAAAGCGUGGGGAGCAAACAGGAUUAGAUACCCUUGUAGUC
Molecule: ribosomal RNA, 442 nt
Filed under: uncultured bacterium
Lineage: Bacteria
Description: partial 16S ribosomal RNA
Rfam family: Bacterial small subunit ribosomal RNA
Source: RNAcentral